Molecule: transfer RNA, 87 nt
Filed under: Lachnospiraceae bacterium
Lineage: Bacteria; Bacillati; Bacillota; Clostridia; Lachnospirales; Lachnospiraceae
Also listed under: 7 other names
Description: tRNA-Leu
Rfam family: tRNA
About the family: Transfer RNA (tRNA) molecules are approximately 80 nucleotides in length.
Source: RNAcentral
GCGGGAAUGGCGGAAUUGGCAGACGCGCUAGAUUCAGGUUCUAGUGAAAGCAAUUUCAUGCAGGUUCAAGUCCUGUUUCCCGCACCA